GUGCUCACUUCAGCAGCACAUAUACUAACUUUGGAACAAUCCAGAGAAAAUUAGCACAGCGCCUGCAUAAGAAAUGAGUAUGAAAUUCCACAGAGCACUUUAAGCUUGGA
RNAcentral lists this small nuclear RNA (110 nucleotides) under Canis lupus dingo (dingo). The record is from RNAcentral. Lineage: Eukaryota; Metazoa; Chordata; Mammalia; Carnivora; Canidae.